GACAGAGGGUGCAAACGUUGUUCGGAUUUACUGGGCGUAAAGCGCAUGUAGGCGGAGAGAUGUGUCGGGUGUGAAAUCCCUGGGCUCAACCUAGGAACUGCAUCCGAAACUGUCUUUCUAGAGUAGUGGAGAGGAAAGCGGAAUUCCGGGUGUAGAGGUGAAAUUCGUAGAUAUCCGGAGGAACACCAGUGGCGAAGGCGGCUUUCUGGACACUAACUGACGCUGAGAUGCGAAAGCGUGGGGAGCAAACAGG
Molecule: ribosomal RNA, 253 nt
Filed under: uncultured bacterium
Lineage: Bacteria
Description: partial 16S ribosomal RNA
Rfam family: Bacterial small subunit ribosomal RNA
Source: RNAcentral